AGCGAACGCUGGCGGCAGGCUUAACACAUGCAAGUCGAGCGCUCGUAGCAAUACGGGAGCGGCAGACGGGUGAGUAACACGUGGGAACGUACCUUUUGGUUCGGAACAACAUAGGGAAACUUGUGCUAAUACCGGAUAAGCCCUUACGGGGAAAGAUUUAUCGCCGAAAGAUCGGCCCGCGUCUGAUUAGCUAGUUGGUGAGGUAACGGCUCACCAAGGCGACGAUCAGUAGCUGGUCNGAGAGGAUGAUCAGCCACAUUGGGACUGAGACACGGCCCAAACUCCUACGGGAGGCAGCAGUGGGGAAUAUUGGACAAUGGGCGCAAGCCUGAUCCAGCCAUGCCGCGUGAGUGAUGAAGGCCUUAGGGUCGUAAGCUCUUUUGUGCGGGAAGAUAAUGACUGUACCG
This 407-nucleotide ribosomal RNA is filed under the name uncultured bacterium. RNAcentral describes it as "bacterial SSU rRNA". It matches the Rfam family "Bacterial small subunit ribosomal RNA", at positions 29 to 480 of the family's 1533-position model. The record is from RNAcentral.